CUCCCCUUCACAUCCAACACCCAGAUCUAAUGGUGAUCAGAUCUAAGAAGAGAAAAAAGAGAGAAGAAGAGAAGAAGAAGGGUUCUUCUUCUUUUUAUAGUGAUCUGAUUCAGAUCCCAUCGGAUCUAUGCAAAAGAGUUUGCGUAGCGAUCUCUUUCUUCGAGAUCUAAAAGAAGAGAUCUAGAUCUAAGGAUGAAGAGCGAGAUCUGCAAGGUGCUAGCACACCAAUAAUCUCGAUGCUCUAAUCAGGCAUCUCUGUAUAGAUACC
Molecule: long non-coding RNA, 268 nt
Filed under: Elaeis guineensis (African oil palm)
Lineage: Eukaryota; Viridiplantae; Streptophyta; Magnoliopsida; Arecales; Arecaceae
Description: long non-coding RNA (EGUI_LNC066830)
Source: RNAcentral